GUGAGGAAUUUUCCGCAAUGGGCGAAAGCCUGACGGAGCAAUGCCGCGUGAAGGAUGAAGGCCUAUGGGUUGUAAACUUCUUUUCUCAGAAAAGAAUUAUGACGGUAUCUGAGGAAUAAGCAUCGGCUAACUCUGUGCCAGCAGCCGCGGUAAGACAGAGGAUGCAAGCGUUAUCCGGAAUGAUUGGGCGUAAAGCGUCUGUAGGUUGUUUAAAAAGUAUUCUGUCAAAGAUUAGGGCUUAACCCUAGAUAGGCAGAAUAAACUUUUAAGCUAGGGUUUGGUAGAGGGAGAGGGAAUUCCCGGUGGAGCGGUGAAAUGCGUAGAUAUCGGGAGGAACACCAAAGGCGAAGGCACUCUGCUGGGCCAAUACUAACACUGAGAGACGAAAGCGAGGGGAGCAAAUGGGAUUAGAAACCCGUGUAGUCC
RNAcentral lists this ribosomal RNA (426 nucleotides) under uncultured bacterium. RNAcentral describes it as "partial 16S ribosomal RNA". It matches the Rfam family "Bacterial small subunit ribosomal RNA", at positions 354 to 796 of the family's 1533-position model. The record is from RNAcentral.